ACACUUGUCAGCCAGGCUCCGCUGCAGAGCACACAAACUUUACAAUGUGUCACAAUCCACAUGUCUGUGUCAGGACUGCUUUCCCAAGGUAAUCUCAACCCUUUUUGAACCUUAAUUCCGGCUGAGAUUAAAGAGGACACUACCCGUGAGAUCAGAAUAUCUCGCAUUCCCACAAAACUGUUGCACGCAGGUAAUCAUCUGUCAGUUAUCAUUGUAUACAUCUUUCAUGCGUUGAAAACAGGAACAUUGCAAAAUCGUCAAGACCACUGAAAAAUGAAGAACACAGGCCAAGUUAUUUCACCUAAACAUCUACAUCUGUUAUGAGAGUAGUGCAAAAACUUAUGCUAUGCUACCAAAUGCAAAAUACAACCACAUGUCCUAUCCCAGAUGACCACAGAUGACCCCGGUGAGAAGGCCAUUCACGAAAAUAUAAAAGACUUGUAACUCACAGUGGCAGAAGAUGACACGUUUAACAAUAUCAUCUUCAAACCUUCAGUCCUUGAUGUCUGGGAGCUGCCAAACCUCAGUCGGUAUCUUAAACUUUCCAGUCAGCUCAAGGACACAAAUCUGCUUGUGUUUUAACCUUCUCCAGUUAGUGACAAUGGAAUCAUUUGAGGGAAACGUCUUCAUUCUGGAUGCCGUAAUUUUGGCAUCUACACCUAAAAAGUGUCACAUUUGUAUCUGAGCACCUGCAGAGAGUAAUGGCAAAGGACUAAUCAAUCGUGUUAAGUGUGCACUGUUCAAAAUCAAAUCUAACCUUGGUCAUUAAAAAGGUCUCUAUUCUA
Molecule: long non-coding RNA, 785 nt
Organism: Pseudophryne corroboree (corroboree frog)
Lineage: Eukaryota; Metazoa; Chordata; Amphibia; Anura; Myobatrachidae
Exons: 3
Source: RefSeq, a predicted model, not a curated record